ACAAGGAGUGGAGCCUGCGGCUUAAUUCGACUCAACACGGGAAACCUCACCAGGCCCGGACACUGGUAGGAUUGACAGAUCUUUCCCCAUGAAGCUCUUUCUCGAUUCAGUGGGUGGUGGUGCAUGGCCGUUCGUGGUUGGUGGAGCGAUCUGUCUGGUUCAUUCCGAUAACGAACGAGACUCCGGCCUACUAACUAGGAGACGACUCCGCGCUCGUUUGCGGCGUCCGUCUGUGCUUCUUAGAGGGACGGGCGGCGGUUGAUAAGCCGCACGAAGCCGGAGCAAUAACAGGUCUGUGAUGCCCUUCGAUGCCCUGGGCCGCACGCGCGCUACACUGAAGGAGGCAACGCGCUCCCUCCCUCGUGGAGGGCAAGCCCGUUCGUCGGUGCGUUCCCGGUCCGAAAGGAUCGGGCAACCGCUGAAUCUCCUGUGGCUCUCGUUGGCUUUUCGUGGUAGGAAUUGGGGCUUGAAAUUGUGCCCCAUGAACCAGGAAUUCCCAGUAAGCGCGAGUCAGCAGCU
This 519-nucleotide ribosomal RNA is filed under the name uncultured eukaryote. RNAcentral describes it as "SSU rRNA". It matches the Rfam family "Eukaryotic small subunit ribosomal RNA", at positions 1169 to 1636 of the family's 1831-position model. The record is from RNAcentral.